GAUGAACGCUGGCGGCGUGCCUAAUACAUGCAAGUCGAGCGAACGGACGAGAAGCUUGCUUCUCUGAUGUUAGCGGCGGACGGGUGAGUAACACGUGGAUAACCCACCUAUAAGACUGGGAUAACUUCGGGAAACCGGAGCUAAUACCGGAUAAUAUUUUGAACCGCAUGGUUCAAAAGUGAAAGACGGUCUUGAUGUCACUGAUAGAUGGAUCCGCGCUGCAUUAGCUAGUUGGUAGGGUAACGGCUUACCAAGGCAACGAUGCAUAGCCGACCUGAGAGGGUGAUCGGCCACACUGGAACUGAGACACGGUCCAGACUCCUACGGGAGGCAGCAGUAGGGAAUCUUCCGCAAUGGGCGAAAGCCUGACGGAGCAACGCCGCGUGAGUGAUGAAAGUCUUCGGAUCGUAAAACUCUGUUAUUAGGGAAGAACAUAUGUGUAAGUAACUGUGCACAUCUUGACGGUACCUAAUCAGAAAGCCACGGCUAACUACGUG
This 497-nucleotide ribosomal RNA is filed under the name uncultured bacterium. Its description in RNAcentral is "partial 16S ribosomal RNA". It matches the Rfam family "Bacterial small subunit ribosomal RNA", at positions 28 to 507 of the family's 1533-position model. The record is from RNAcentral.